ACGGGGAGAGUGAAUGAUCUAAAAUUUUACACACAAGUUAUUGGUCUAGACAGGACAUUAAUAUGGUAAAAUUAUUUCUAUUCCAGUCAUGUAGAAAAAAAUGCGAGGCGUUUUGUUCGAAACCUCAUGAAAAAUAGUCUAAACAUGUAGCAUAAAAUGCUUUAAAACGGAUGAAUUGUUCCAGAUAGAUAUUAAAGUUUAAAGGUCGGUGACAUUACAGGUCAGUGAUAUCAAACCUCCUGUAAACUCAUGUAAAGACAGGGUUUGUUAACGCAUCUCAAAAAGAAAAUACAUUAUAAUAUUGCAAAAAGAAUCGGCAUUUAUUCGAGAUCGGCCUGAUGACAAAACUCUAGUUACAGUUCCGAUAGCUUUUCGUGCUUUGGGGUUUUUUUUUGUAUUCUGUUUUAUAUUUACGUUUGCGUAUUUAUAACAAUUGCAUGUGACAGAUUGUGCGGAUUUAUGCAGCACAUAACAGAGUGGACUACUUUCUGUGUCUAUGAGCGCAAGAAAACUGCAAAAUGAAUAUAAUUGAAUAAACACUUAAAUUAAAACAUAAAACAAGUUUUAUUUUGGAUUGUAUAAUUAAAUAAAACAGGACGCUUAGCAAUUCGUGCGUACAAUAGUAGGCCGACCUCGUUAUCAGUACUUCCGUUAUUGAAUAUUCACGACCUUGUAGUUAAAAUAUGUUGCUCGGGAAAACUAUAGUUAAAUUAGGACCUAUGUCCAGUGGGGCUCUAUUUCGGAGAAAUUUUACUUAUGGACCUCCGCUCAAUCGUAUCUCAUUAAAGGAAAAGAUAGCUUUAUUUAGUGGUGCUAUGGUUAUUAUCGCAGGACCUAUGUUGUGGAUUAUGGGAAGUUUAAAGAGGUACCAAGGAAAAGAAGAAUAGACAAUGGCUAGAUAGUAUUCAAUAGUGACAAGAAAAAAUGUGUGUUAUAAAAACAGCAAGAGUGUGUGCUGUUAACAGAGAAUUAUAAAAACAGCAAAAACGAUGUAAAAUUAUGCCGAGAUAUUAUUUGAAUUUCCAAUCAAUAUUUUAUCAGUCAUAUUUGCAACUUAUUAAAUCUUUUAUUGACAAA
Ruditapes philippinarum (Manila clam) is the source of this 1077-nucleotide long non-coding RNA. RefSeq lists it as uncharacterized. Lineage: Eukaryota; Metazoa; Mollusca; Bivalvia; Venerida; Veneridae. The record is from RefSeq and is a predicted model, not a curated record. The transcript has 2 exons.